RNAcentral lists this ribosomal RNA (450 nucleotides) under uncultured bacterium. RNAcentral describes it as "partial 16S ribosomal RNA". It matches the Rfam family "Bacterial small subunit ribosomal RNA", at positions 354 to 796 of the family's 1533-position model. The record is from RNAcentral.
GUCGAGAAUAAUUCACAAUGGGGGAAACCCUGAUGGUGCAACGCCGCGUGGAGGAUGAAGGUCUUCGGAUUGUAAACUCCUGUCAUCCGGGAGUAAGACCUGGCUGUGAAUAGCAGACAGGGUUGAUAGUACCGGAAGAGGAAGGGACGGCUAACUUCGUGCCAGCAGCCGCGGUAAUACGAAGGUCCCGAGCGUUGUUCGGAAUCACUGGGCGUAAAGGGAGCGUAGGCGGCGCGGUAAGUCAGAUGUGAAAUCCCGGGGCUCAACCCCGGAACUGCAUCCGAUACUGCCGUGCUAGAGGAUUGGAGAGGUAGCUGGAAUUCUUGGUGUAGCAGUGAAAUGCGUGGAGAUCAAGAGGAACACUCGUGGCGAAAGCGAGCUACUGGACAAUAUCUGACGCUGAGGCUCGAAGGCCAGGGUAGCGAAAGGGAUUAGAAACCCGGGUAGUCC